This 548-nucleotide ribosomal RNA is filed under the name Salmonella enterica subsp. enterica serovar Typhimurium. RNAcentral's name for it is "bacterial LSU rRNA". It matches the Rfam family "Bacterial large subunit ribosomal RNA", at positions 1 to 579 of the family's 2925-position model. Lineage: Bacteria; Pseudomonadati; Pseudomonadota; Gammaproteobacteria; Enterobacterales; Enterobacteriaceae. The record is from RNAcentral. RNAcentral also lists the same sequence under 1 other name.
GGGUUGUGAGGUUAAGCGACUAAGCGUACACGGUGGAUGCCCUGGCAGUCAGAGGCGAUGAAGGGCGUGCUAAUCUGCGAUAAGCGCCGGUAAGGUGAUAUGAACCGUUAUAACCGGCGAUACCCGAAUGGGGAAACCCAGUGUGAUUCGUCACACUAUCAUUAACUGAAUCCAUAGGUUAAUGAGGCGAACCGGGGGAACUGAAACAUCUAAGUACCCCGAGGAAAAGAAAUCAACCGAGAUUCCCCCAGUAGCGGCGAGCGAACGGGGAGGAGCCCAGAGCCUGAAUCAGCAUGUGUGUUAGUGGAAGCGUCUGGAAAGGUGCGCGAUACAGGGUGACAGCCCCGUACACAAAAGCGCAUGUGCUGUGAGCUCGAUGAGUAGGGCGGGACACGUGGUAUCCUGUCUGAAUAUGGGGGGACCAUCCUCCAAGGCUAAAUACUCCUGACUGACCGAUAGUGAACCAGUACCGUGAGGGAAAGGCGAAAAGAACCCCGGCGAGGGGAGUGAAAAAGAACCUGAAACCGUGUACGUACAAGCAGUGGGAG